AGCCCAGAGCCUGAAUCAGUGUGUGUGUUAGUGGAAGCGUCUGGAAAGGCGCGCGAUACAGGGUGACAGCCCCGUACACAAAAAUGCACAUGCUGUGAGCUCGAUGAGUAGGGCGGGACACGUGGUAUCCUGUCUGAAUAUGGGGGGACCAUCCUCCAAGGCUAAAUACUCCUGACUGACCGAUAGUGAACCAGUACCGUGAGGGAAAGGCGAAAAGAACCCCGGCGAGGGGAGUGAAAAAGAACCUGAAACCGUGUACGUACAAGCAGUGGGAGCACGCUUAGGCGUGUGACUGCGUACCUUUUGUAUAAUGGGUCAGCGACUUAUAUUCUGUAGCAAGGUUAACCGAAUAGGGGAGCCGAAGGGAAACCGAGUCUUAACUGGGCGUUAAGUUGCAGGGUAUAGACCCGAAACCCGGUGAUCUAGCCAUGGGCAGGUUGAAGGUUGGGUAACACUAACUGGAGGACCGAACCGACUAAUGUUGAAAAAUUAGCGGAUGACUUGUGGCUGGGGGUGAAAGGCCAAUCAAACCGGGAGAUAGCUGGUUCUCCCCGAAAGCUAUUUAGGUAGCGCCUCGUGAAUUCAUCUCCGGGGGUAGAGCACUGUUUCGGCAAGGGGGUCAUCCCGACUUACCAACCCGAUGCAAACUGCGAAUACCGGAGAAUGUUAUCACGGGAGACACACGGCGGGUGCUAACGUCCGUCGUGAAGAGGGAAACAACCCAGACCGCCAGCUAAGGUCCCAAAGUCAUGGUUAAGUGGGAAACGAUGUGGGAAGGCCCAGACAGCCAGGAUGUUGGCUUAGAAGCAGCCAUCAUUUAAAGAAAGCGUAAUAGCUCACUGGUCGAGUCGGCCUGCGCGGAAGAUGUAACGGGGCUAAACCAUGCACCGAAGCUGCGGCAGCGACGCUUAUGCGUUGUUGGGUAGGGGAGCGUUCUGUAAGCCUGCGAAGGUGUGCUGUGAGGCAUGCUGGAGGUAUCAGAAGUGCGAAUGCUGACAUAAGUAACGAUAAAGCGGGUGAAAAGCCCGCUCGCCGGAAGACCAAGGGUUCCUGUCCAACGUUAAUCGGGGCAGGGUGAGUCGACCCCUAAGGCGAGGCCGAAAGGCGUAGUCGAUGGGAAACAGGUUAAUAUUCCUGUACUUGGUGUUACUGCGAAGGGGGGACGGAGAAGGCUAUGUUGGCCGGGCGACGGUUGUCCCGGUUUAAGCGUGUAGGCUGGUUUUCCAGGCAAAUCCGGAAAAUCAAGGCUGAGGCGUGAUGACGAGGCACUACGGUGCUGAAGCAACAAAUGCCCUGCUUCCAGGAAAAGCCUCUAAGCAUCAGGUAACAUCAAAUCGUACCCCAAACCGACACAGGUGGUCAGGUAGAGAAUACCAAGGCGCUUGAGAGAACUCGGGUGAAGGAACUAGGCAAAAUGGUGCCGUAACUUCGGGAGAAGGCACGCUGAUAUGUAGGUGAAGCGACUUGCUCGUGGAGCUGAAAUCAGUCGAAGAUACCAGCUGGCUGCAACUGUUUAUUAAAAACACAGCACUGUGCAAACACGAAAGUGGACGUAUACGGUGUGACGCCUGCCCGGUGCCGGAAGGUUAAUUGAUGGGGUCAGCGCAAGCGAAGCUCUUGAUCGAAGCCCCGGUAAACGGCGGCCGUAACUAUAACGGUCCUAAGGUAGCGAAAUUCCUUGUCGGGUAAGUUCCGACCUGCACGAAUGGCGUAAUGAUGGCCAGGCUGUCUCCACCCGAGACUCAGUGAAAUUGAACUCGCUGUGAAGAUGCAGUGUACCCGCGGCAAGACGGAAAGACCCCGUGAACCUUUACUAUAGCUUGACACUGAACAUUGAGCCUUGAUGUGUAGGAUAGGUGGGAGGCUUUGAAGUGUGGACGCCAGUCUGCAUGGAGCCGACCUUGAAAUACCACCCUUUAAUGUUUGAUGUUCUAACGUUGACCCGUAAUCCGGGUUGCGGACAGUGUCUGGUGGGUAGUUUGACUGGGGCGGUCUCCUCCUAAAGAGUAACGGAGGAGCACGAAGGUUGGCUAAUCCUGGUCGGACAUCAGGAGGUUAGUGCAAUGGCAUAAGCCAGCUUGACUGCGAGCGUGACGGCGCGAGCAGGUGCGAAAGCAGGUCAUAGUGAUCCGGUGGUUCUGAAUGGAAGGGCCAUCGCUCAACGGAUAAAAGGUACUCCGGGGAUAACAGGCUGAUACCGCCCAAGAGUUCAUAUCGACGGCGGUGUUUGGCACCUCGAUGUCGGCUCAUCACAUCCUGGGGCUGAAGUAGGUCCCAAGGGUAUGGCUGUUCGCCAUUUAAAGUGGUACGCGAGCUGGGUUUAGAACGUCGUGAGACAGUUCGGUCCCUAUCUGCCGUGGGCGCUGGAGAACUGAGGGGGGCUGCUCCUAGUACGAGAGGACCGGAGUGGACGCAUCACUGGUGUUCGGGUUGUCAUGCCAAUGGCACUGCCCGGUAGCUAAAUGCGGAAGAGAUAAGUGCUGAAAGCAUCUAAGCACGAAACUUGCCCCGAGAUGAGUUCUCCCUGACUCCUUGAGAGUCCUGAAGGAACGUUGAAGACGACGACGUUGAUAGGCCGGGUGUGUAAGCGCAGCGAUGCGUUGAGCUAACCGGUACUAAUGAACCGUGAGGCUUAACCUUACAACGCCGAAG
RNAcentral lists this ribosomal RNA (2652 nucleotides) under Escherichia coli. RNAcentral's name for it is "bacterial LSU rRNA". It matches the Rfam family "Bacterial large subunit ribosomal RNA", at positions 296 to 2925 of the family's 2925-position model. The record is from RNAcentral. Lineage: Bacteria; Pseudomonadati; Pseudomonadota; Gammaproteobacteria; Enterobacterales; Enterobacteriaceae.